Molecule: ribosomal RNA, 466 nt
Filed under: uncultured bacterium
Lineage: Bacteria
Description: partial 16S ribosomal RNA
Rfam family: Bacterial small subunit ribosomal RNA
Source: RNAcentral
GACGAACGCUGGCGGCGCGCCUAACACAUGCAAGUCGAACGAGCGAGAGAGAGCUUGCUUUCUUGAGCGAGUGGCGAACGGGUGAGUAACGCGUGAGGAACCUGCCUCAAAGAGGGGGACAACAGUUGGAAACGACUGCUAAUACCGCAUAAGCCCACGGUGCCGCAUGGCACAGAGGGAAAAGGAGCAAUCCGCUUUGAGAUGGCCUCUCGUCCGAUUAGCUAGUUUGUGAGGUAACGGCGCACCAAGGCGACGAUCGGUAGCCGGACUGAGAGGUUGAACGGAGACAUUGGCACUGAGACACGGCGCAGAAUCCUACGGGAGGCAGCAGUGGGGAAUAUUGCAAAAUGGGGGAAACGCUGAUGCAGCGACGAUGGGUGGAGGAAUAAGGUCUUCGGAUUGUAAACUCAUGUUGUUGGGGAAGAUAAUGACGUUACCCAACAAGGAAGUGACGGCUAACUACGUG